RNAcentral lists this ribosomal RNA (216 nucleotides) under Glomeromycotina sp. RNAcentral's name for it is "partial small subunit ribosomal RNA". The stretch from base 40 to 216 matches the Rfam family "Eukaryotic small subunit ribosomal RNA", at positions 686 to 864 of the family's 1831-position model. The record is from RNAcentral. Lineage: Eukaryota; Fungi; Glomeromycota.
GGGUCAGGAGGUUGGUCGUGCCACCGGUACGUACUGGUCUCACUGAUUCCUCCUUCCUGAAGAACCUUAAUGCCAUUAAUUUGGUGUUGCGGGGAAACAGGACUGUUACUUUGAAAAAAUUAGAGUGUUUAAAGCAAGCUAACGCUUGAAUACAUUAGCAUGGAAUAAUGAAAUAGGACGAUCGAUCCUAUUUUGUUGGUUUCUAGGAUUGACGUA